RNAcentral lists this ribosomal RNA (522 nucleotides) under uncultured bacterium. RNAcentral describes it as "bacterial SSU rRNA". It matches the Rfam family "Bacterial small subunit ribosomal RNA", at positions 988 to 1509 of the family's 1533-position model. The record is from RNAcentral.
CCAGAGAAUUUAGCAGAGAUGCUUUAGUGCCUUCGGGAACUCUGAGACAGGUGCUGCAUGGCUGUCGUCAGCUCGUGUUGUGAAAUGUUGGGUUAAGUCCCGCAACGAGCGCAACCCUUAUCCUUUGUUGCCAGCACGUAAUGGUGGGAACUCAAAGGAGACUGCCUGUGAUAAACCGGAGGAAGGUGGGGAUGACGUCAAGUCAUCAUGGCCCUUACGAGUAGGGCUACACACGUGCUACAAUGGCGCAUACAAAGAGAAGCGACCUCGCGAGAGCAAGCGGACCUCAUAAAGUGCGUCGUAGUCCGGAUUGGAGUCUGCAACUCGACUCCAUGAAGUCGGAAUCGCUAGUAAUCGUAAAUCAGAAUGUUACGGUGAAUACGUUCCCGGGCCUUGUACACACCGCCCGUCACACCAUGGGAGUGGGUUGCAAAAGAAGUAGAUAGCUUAACCUUCGGGAGGGCGUUUACCACUUUGUGAUUCAUGACUGGGGUGAAGUCGUAACAAGGUAGGCGUAGUGCU